GUGGCUGUGACCUGGAGAAGCCAAAAGCCUGCUCCUGUCCUCCCCUGAGACGCGCUGGAUGUGCAGCUGGGAGUUCUCUAAAGGAUUUCACAGCAGCUGAGCUCAUGCAAAAUGGUAUUUUUGCUUUGCCCUUUGCAUGCCUUCCCCGUCCUUGUCCCUCUGGUUUCCCUCCCGCGCUCCAGAAGAAGAGAAUGAUGGCAGACACGCCAGCUUUGAAAGCACGGAGUGCUUCAGCGAAGGCAGCUCAUUACAACAUGUUCUCACCGAUGUCUGCCGCCCCUUAUCAGCCCAUCAGCCCGAGCGCAUCGCCCUCCGGCUGCCACCAGACACCGCUCGUCCCCGGAGGGCGAGCCCUGGCUGCAGCCUGACUCACUGCGUGGGAGACAGUAAUUAUUCUGUCUGUUGCAAAUUGGACCAGUAAUAACCUUUCUCUUCAUAGCAGUAAUGAUGCUCUUUUAAAAAUAUAUUUUAAUUGAUCGUGGAUAAUGAGUUGGACUGAGGGAGCGGGCAGUGGGGGGGGGUGAGGGCAGGAUGGGGCAGAUGGAGCAGGAGGAAGAGGAGGUGGUGAUGUCACACAGGGAUGCUGUGGAGGGAUGGAUCCUGCACACAGAGGCAGCAGGUGAGGCUCACUGCGGUCCCAUCAGGGAUUUGUCCUCUAUCCUGGUGCCUAAGCAAGGGCUGCAUCCCGCAGCAUUUCAAGUGCCACUACUUGCAGAGCAGGGAGAUGCCUCUGUUCUUGUCUCUUGCUGGGAAGAAAAUGCAACAAUGCUCUCUAGAGGCAGAAGAAGUCAAGAAGAGGCUCGCUUUUCCCACUCCACACUUCACUGUGACCUUGCUGCUCUUUGCAGCUGUUUAUUUCCCACAUAAACAGCAAUUUCUGGGUAUUUUGGCCUCUUGUGAUGUAGCUCAGGUUGUUUGUUUCACCCCACCCCAGGGCAACCUCAUGUAAUUAGUGCGAGAGAGGGCUGGGAGCUAUGGUUCAGGUCAGGAUGCGGCUCUGGGGCUGGAAGGCCGUGCAGGGCAAUGGGAAUAGGGAAGGAUGCAAGAAGAGAUGGGCUCCAGUGUGGUCCAGCAUCACUGUGGAGCAAGGAAAGCCUCUGGAGCUUGCGGUGGGAUGCUGAUAGGGGAAUGUCCCUAAGGACUGAUUCACCCCAGGGCAGGUGCAGCUGUAGGUGAAACAGGAGCUGCAGGAGCUGAGUCAGGCAGCAACUGCCCCUUAAUAAAAGCCAGAGGGGGCAGAGGAGCUGGUCUGGGGGGCUGUGGGUCUCUUGUGUGUAUACAUACAUANUGGUUAGAUAUUUAUUUGAACCAUGUAGCACCAUAGAUAGUCCCCAGCCCCCAGCAUAACUUCUUCCUAUAGCAAAGGAUGUGACUUGUUUAGACAUCAAACACAUAUCAAGUGGCUUGGUGUUAGUAUUCUGAAGCACUCGCUCUACGGCAGGCGCCAGUGCUAACAUCAUUACACAACUCAUGUUGCACAAUGACAGCAGCAUUUGUUGUUUAUUUUUAUCAGACCUGUAAGGCUCAUCUUUUCC
This 1535-nucleotide long non-coding RNA is filed under the name Pavo cristatus (Indian peafowl). RNAcentral's name for it is "lncRNA (ENSPSTG00000000309.1)". The record is from RNAcentral. Lineage: Eukaryota; Metazoa; Chordata; Aves; Galliformes; Phasianidae.